GGGGGGGGCUUACCUGCAGUCGAACGCUGAAGCACCAGCUUGCUGGUGUGGAUGAGUGGCGAACGGGUGAGUAAUACGUGAGUAACCUGCCCUUGACUCUGGGAUAAGCCCGGGAAACUGGGUCUAAUACUGGAUGCUACAUGUCACCGCAUGGUGGUGUGUGGAAAGGGUUUACUGGUCUUGGAUGGGCUCACGGCCUAUCAGCUUGUUGGUGAGGUAAUGGCUCACCAAGGCGACGACGGGUAGCCGGCCUGAGAGGGUGACCGGCCACACUGGGACUGAGACACGGCCCAGACUCCUACGGGAGGCAGCAGUGGGGAAUAUUGCACAAUGGGCGAAAGCCUGAUGCAGCGACGCCGCGUGAGGGAUGACGGCCUUCGGGUUGUAAACCUCUUUCAGCAGGGAAGAAGCCACAAGUGACGGUACCUGCAGAAGAAGCGCCGGCUAACUACGUGCCAGCAGCCGCGGUAAUACGUAGGGCGCAAGCGUUGUCCGGAAUUAUUGGGCGUAAAGAGCUCGUAGGCGGUUUGUCGCGUCUGCUGUGAAAGCCCGGGGCUUAACCCCGGGUGUGCAGUGGGUACGGGCAGACUAGAGUGCAGUAGGGGAGACUGGAAUUCCUGGUGUAGCGGUGGAAUGCGCAGAUAUCAGGAGGAACACCGAUGGCGAAGGCAGGUCUCUGGGCUGUUACUGACGCUGAGGAGCGAAAGCAUGGGGAGCGAACAGGAUUAGAUACCCUGGUAGUCCAUGCCGUAAACGUUGGGCACUAGGUGUGGGGGACAUUCCACGUUUUCCGCGCCGUAGCUAACGCAUUAAGUGCCCCGCCUGGGGAGUACGGCCGCAAGGCUAAAACUCAAAGGAAUUGACGGGGGCCCGCACAAGCGGCGGAGCAUGCGGAUUAAUUCGAUGCACGCGAAGAACCUUACCAGGCUUGACUAUACCGGAUCGUUCCGAGAUGUUCUUCCCUUUGGGGUCGUAUACAGGG
RNAcentral lists this ribosomal RNA (982 nucleotides) under Kocuria sp. RNAcentral's name for it is "bacterial SSU rRNA". It matches the Rfam family "Bacterial small subunit ribosomal RNA", at positions 39 to 1039 of the family's 1533-position model. Lineage: Bacteria; Bacillati; Actinomycetota; Actinomycetes; Micrococcales; Micrococcaceae. The record is from RNAcentral.